UACUGGACUCAAUUGUGAUUGUGAACUGUAUGUGUGUUGAAUGUAUACUGUGGUUUGACUGAAAAUAUAUAUGAAUGCAUGUGAAUUGAAGUAGACAUAACGUCGAAUGUAUAUCGUGAAUGUCAUGGAAGAUAUAUAUAAGUGUGUGUAUGUUGACAGGACAAAGAUUGUAGAUUGUGUUGGUAUGAGAUAUAGAUAUGAACUUGUGAUUCUCGUUUAGAUUGGGUGUACGAUUACGCUAAAGUAUGAUUGGGUUAAUAAGGAUUGGCCUGUUUGUUGUUUGUUGUUUUUUCUUAGUAAUGGUAGUGUGUGAAAGGGAAUUUGAUAACUCUAUAUAUUGUUUAAUUAUGGUUUUGAAUUCUGUUUUGUGUCUUUAAAAGGACGUUGAACUUCAAAAUCGUUUUAAUAGGGUCCUUGAACUUUGAUUUUUUCUUUAGGGGAAGGGGUGUGUAAGGGAUUUUGAUUUUAGUCAUUGAAUGCCAGUGUGUAGCGCCCACCUCCAGGUGACGGAUUUUCAGCAGCCACCGUCGCCCUCUUCCAAUUUUGUUUUCGACAACCCUCUCUAUUCUAUGUUGCUGUUUCCAAUGGGGUUGUAUUAUCUUCUGGAGUAUACAUGUUGGAUUUGUUGUAGAUGUAGCCAUGGUUGCUUCCUCCUUCGUUGCUUAUUCUUAACUUCAUGUAACUUAUAGCCAUCUAAUUCGUUUCUUCUUCCUAUUUUUUCUCCUCUUCUAAUGGCAUCUUUCAUUCUCUACAUCCAACUUGCGCAACCGUGAUAUAUUCUCCAAGGUAAGUAUCUCUUUAAUGGACGUCAAAAGACUGCAUCUUGAAAAAUGAUUUCAUCCAAGAUAUAUUCAUAUGGGCUUUUUUAUUCCUUUGAAAGAAUGCCAUUCAUAUAUUACACAUCCUUAUACCUGAGUUUACAAGGUUGUUAUAGUACUUUCGCGUUUCAUGAGUGAAAAGAUAGAAUCAAGUUGCGGAAUUACGUUCAUUUUUAGAGCUCUUAAGUGAUUGAAGAUAGUUGAUGUAUAUUUAUUUUCUCAAAAGUCACAUUUUUUGCAAGUUUGGUUUACUUUGGAUUUAUUAAAGAUAAUACCAGUUCACUUAUUGAUUCCAUUCAUUCCCGAAAAAAUUCUUUAAAAAAAUUUAGUUUAACACCAAGAAUCGCUUUGAGGAUUUAUCUCCUUAAGGGUUGUCGGAACCAUAUACUGAACAUCUACAAUACGUUUGAUCAUAGUUAACUUUACAAUGAUCUAGUUGAUAGUCUUCCUAUUUGUUGAGCUUCUCUUUUAGAUUGAAGGAAAGGGAAAGACUUGGCUAGGUUGUGGCAAGCAAACUUCUUCGCUAUUAUGUGGAGAAAUUUAGAGGGGAGGCUAGGGAGUUAGAGAGUUUUUUUGGAAAAAAAAAAAGAGACGGGACUUUACAUUAAGAGAAUGAAAAAAAAGACCAAUGUUCAAAGAAGUGAAAAAGAGCAACAUAGCACAAAAAAAAGACAUAGGAACAUAAUGCAAAAAGUAAGCUAGAGAGGUGAUAAGGAUAAUUAGUAUAUUUUAGUUAAUUGGUUAAUUGUCUUAUUUUCCUGUAAGGCUAUAGAUAGCCAAUUUAGAGUGUAUUUGAACCUCUUGAAUAUCUUUCCAAUAUAGAACGUUGUUCUUGGAGAGCUUUUUCUCAUCUCUAAGGAAUGAGAUUUCUCUUGUUCCAGAAUGGAUUUGGCAUGGUACUCCAACCUGCUGCAUCAAGAGGUUUAAUUAUUCAGUUUGGGCAUUGAUCACUAGGACUUUUUGUAAUUGUGAUAAUGAUCUUGUUCUUUUUUAUUAGAUUGUUUUAUGUGAUUAGUCAUUGACUCCUUUUUAUGAGUAUUACGUCUUUUUUUUGUUUUUCUUAUUGCAAUUUGGUUUUGGUAUUUCUGUUGUAUGUCUUUUUAUUAUUAUUAUUGCAAUUUGGUUUUGGUAUUUCUGUUAUGAAUAGAGUUUUGUUUGCCCUUGGUUCUUUUAUUUUUUCAAUAAACGUUCGGUUGCUUAAAUAAAAUGGUUCUCUGGACAGAAGUGAAUUGUGAGUUUACUGAAUUUGGUAAAUUUAGAAGCAUUCCUCUGUGCAUCCUCUAGUAGAUUUUGGAUUUUCCUCUUCCACUGUAAUGGAAUUGGACCGAGAAAAGUUAAUGUGUUCCAGUUAUUUUACGGUGCUGGCACUUACAUGUUUGGAAUUGAUGAUGAACGAAUAAUUGAUGCUACAAGGGCUGGAAGCAUUGCUCAUCUGAUCAACCACUCUUUCGAAUAACUGUUGCUCCUCACAGAAGUGUUCAAGGAUAAAUAAAGGUUCAUAUUAGAAGUGGACGUCCAUUAGUUUUGGUAUGUAUGUAAAUUAUUUUAAAUCUAAGUAUCUGAUUUCCUAAUAGUUGAAAACCUUAGUUUAUUGACAAGAAAUCAAAUGGUUACUUCUGAAGUUGGUUGAUUGUAUUUGGUUAUGUCUACUAAUGAGAAUGACUUUACCUUAAGGGGAUAGACUUUAGUUUUGGUAUCUCCAAUUGAGAAUUUAGCCAUUGUGCUUACUCUUUAUGGAGUAUCUAAAGACAAGAAAUCGACACUCCAAUGCUAUGAAAAUUUUCCUAUAAGGUAACAUUUAUAGUCUCAUGUUCAUUUGGUAUGUUAUUUUAUUUGCUUACUUUGUAAUACUAUUCUAUUUUAGAGCUAUUUAGUCAAUUGAUUGUAAAUUUUGACUACAGCUGAUGAUAUGUGGGGAAGAUAUUCAUAGUUCAUCUUUAUUGGCGAUGAUUGCAUAAUACAAACUGUUUAACUCUAAGGAUUACAAAUUGUCGUACAUGUAUUGUCGUAGGCUGUUUUGUUCUAAGGACUAGGAACAACCCAAGAAGUUGUUCAAUUUGCAGUGGCCAUUUGGUUGGACGUUCUUCUUCUCCUUGAUCUCUUUCUCCUCUUCUUAGGAACUUCAUUUUCAUUAUCAGAUUUGAAGAGGGACCACCAUGAGUGGGGUAGUAAAAUGAAUAGAGAAUGGGAGAGUGAGCUGGGUAUGUUUUUGGUAUGUGUAUUCUAGAGAGAAAGAGUAGCAGUAUGUUUUUGUUUGCUGUGUUUGCCUAAUAUAGUCCUCAUGGUCUUCUCUUUUCAUUUCAUGGAAUCAAGUGUUGAAGUUCUUGUUUGUGUUCUGUAUUUUGUUGAGACGUUGAUUUAGUUAUUCAUUGACUGUACGUAUGUGUUAUGGAUUCUUUGUAGGUUCAACUGGAGUCGACAAGUUCAUGAGUUUUGUUUCAAAUAUCAUUUCCAGAAACGAACAUUCUCGGUUGGUCCAGUCAAAUAUAUUCGAAUGCUAUUUAAGAUAUUUUUUGAUUAAGGGUUAGUAUUUCGUACAUGUGGAUUACUGAAACUUGUAUUAAGAUGUACAAAUAUUAUAAAUCGUAUUAUAGUGUAUAUAUAUUAAAGUGUUGGCUA
Cucumis sativus (cucumber) is the source of this 3437-nucleotide long non-coding RNA. RefSeq lists it as uncharacterized. The record is from RefSeq and is a predicted model, not a curated record. The transcript has 2 exons. Lineage: Eukaryota; Viridiplantae; Streptophyta; Magnoliopsida; Cucurbitales; Cucurbitaceae.